UUCAGACAACCCUCCAAAAGCUUAGUGAAUCUCUGACGAACUCCUUUUGUCUUCUACUCUUUUACGACUUAUCUUGACGUCUCUCUUUCAUCACAUAUGAUGAAACUGAGCUACACAACACAGCUACACCUUCAAGAUAUCACAUUUUAUAUUCUUGUUUCAAUUCCCUUUCUUCCCAAGUCUGAACCGCCAAACUGACAACCCCUUCUUCCGACUUCCCUAACCCUUUAGGAUGACAAAGUUGGCCGCAUAUCGGCUCAAGCUUCGGCUUACACCUCUGGUAAGAGGUAAACGCUUCUUCUUACUUAUUUUUCCAAAUCUGAGGUAGAUCUAAAGAUGCAAACCGAUGAUCUUUAUUUUAUCAGUAGAACUCAACCUUUUACCUUUUAAAAUCGACUUAUACCUUCUUAUUCGCUGCAAUAUGAGAAUCAUCGAGACAUCUCAUCAGCCGCAUGUUGCAUGCAGGGCCGGCUCAUAAACAUUUUAGGCCCCUGGGC
Molecule: long non-coding RNA, 497 nt
Filed under: Brassica napus (rape)
Lineage: Eukaryota; Viridiplantae; Streptophyta; Magnoliopsida; Brassicales; Brassicaceae
Description: long non-coding RNA (BNAP_LNC015993)
Source: RNAcentral